CCUAUCGAACAUUCUCAUGCCACUCUCAUCUCUUCAUUGGCGAUCGUUGUCGUUCGCGUCCUCAUCGCCGUCCGCCGUCCACCGUCCUCCCAUCCACUGUUCUCCCGUCCACCGUUCGCGUCCUCACCGCCGUUCACCGUUCUCGUCACGGAUGCAUUGGGUGGAGAUGACAUUGAUAUUGUAGCUGCUUCCCAUGAAGAACUAGACGCGGAGUUAGAAUCGUUGAGGGAAAAACUAGCUGAGGUUUCCUUAAAUUAUGGCAAAUAUUGCUAUGGUUGUUGCAAGUAAUGUGGGUAAAUAUUUGGCGGGACCAGCCAUUCGGGAAAUUCAAUACCUUCUUUGUGUUAAUAAUGUAAUCAAUCUUCUUGAGAAUGAAAGAGAGAUGCUGGCAGCUGAAAGAAACAACUUGCAGACUCAUUUUGCACAAGCAAUGGAAAAAACUGAAGUAACAGCCAUUCAAAUGAGAUUCUGCUUUGGUUUCUUCAUUAAAUACAUAUUGAAUUGAUGAAGGGAAGUAUAUCAUCAUCUGCUUGAUUUUGUUACACUGAAUUUCUUUUGCUAUUAGAUUCGAGGAUUGACAUGGCCUUGUUUGCUUGUUGGAUUGGUUGCUCAGAGUGCAAGGUGCAAACAUACUAUUUUUUUUCAUCCCUUCCUGUUUUCAGGUUGUUGCUUCGUAUAUGAUGGCUAUAAUUAGUCUUUCCGCUUCUGUAUUUAUUUCCAUGAUGCUAAAGAUUGAAUACAAUAUUUUUGUUAUAUUUGUUGCUCUUUAUCUCGAGUAGUCGAACCCUUAAAUGUAACUGAAAGUUUCGAUGUUUAUUCAGGCUGGAUAGGAUCUACGAUUUAUAAGUUUGUCGACGACUGGAUGCUUUUGUUUAAAUGCUUUAGUAUUAUCGAUCUUAUGUAGUAGAUAUGGUUUGCAAGGCUGUUGGUUUUCCCUUGUUGGAUUUCAAUGGGCUCGGUUUUUUGUGGCCCUUCUGCGCCUUCUAUCUCCCAACGGCAUUUUAUACUCAGAAGAAAGAAACAAGCCAAUAUGAGCUGCAAAAGUUGAAGACUGCAUAGUUUUGGAGCUACAUUUUAAUUUUAGUUCAUUAUAGAUUAUACAAGUAUAAGCAUGUUGUCUGUUACAAUUCAGUGGAGGGAAACUACUGGUGCUGAGAUGUAUCAGAAACUAAGCAGGGAAAUGGGGACGUGAUGUGGGGAAAUUAAACCCACCGCCCCUAACAUAUAUCCUUGGUGAUCAAAAGGAGGUGCCACGAGGUAAAGGUAAUCGGUAAACCUUUCUAUUUUUAUGGUGGCUUUCAACAUGAAUCUGGCUUGAAAGCGUUGAAGCGCUGAAUUUUUGGUUAACAUUUCUACUGGUUUUUUACCCUCCUUGUAAUACUUCUAGGGGAGCAAAUAUUAAUAUAGAUAUAUAUUUUUAUUUUUUAAAUAUAUUUCCUGCGGAUUGUUUUCUGCGGAUUUAGCUGCGGAAUUACCUGCGGAACUUCCUGCCGAAAAUAUUGUCUCCGAAGGUUUUAGCUGGGGACAAGAAACCGCAGGAAAAUCCCCAGGUAACGUGUUUCCUGCGGAAAUUUAGCCAGAAUCCGCAGGUAAAUCCACAGGAAAUUUGAAUAUUUCUAGUAGUGUUUCUUAAGUGAAAAUGUUUUAGAAGUGAGAAAUCUAUCAAAAACUUUAUUAGUGAGACUGAAAAAACGACUUGUUUAAGGAAGUGAAAGUGAAUGAAUGUUAUUGUUAACACAAAAAAAGAGAUGAUUCUUACUUUAUAAUAUAGCAUUCACUCUUGAAAAAAUAAUUCAAUAUACAAUAAAAUAAAAAUAAUAUAAAAAUUGAUAAUGAAAAAAAUAAUAACAUUAGUAUUAAAUUAAUAUCAAAAUAAAUUAUUUUAAUUAAAAUCACUAAAAACUACUAUUAAAUUAAAUAAGUGCAAAAUCAAUAUUACAACCUAAAAGUUCCAUUGUGAGAAUAUUAUAUGACGAUUCGGGUUCGAAUCCCGAUCGCUAUACUUCAAUCUACCUGAUAAAUUUGAUUGUAAAGACAAAAAAUUCGUAUACUUUCUCCUAAAGUAAUUAUAAAUACUUAAUAGUGUUAGUCAUUAUAAAUUAUUAUUCAUUAUUUUUUAUAUAAUAUAAUGCAUUUUAAUUCUAAAG
Molecule: long non-coding RNA, 2147 nt
Organism: Vicia villosa (hairy vetch)
Lineage: Eukaryota; Viridiplantae; Streptophyta; Magnoliopsida; Fabales; Fabaceae
Exons: 5
Source: RefSeq, a predicted model, not a curated record